RNAcentral lists this ribosomal RNA (490 nucleotides) under uncultured bacterium. RNAcentral's name for it is "partial 16S ribosomal RNA". It matches the Rfam family "Bacterial small subunit ribosomal RNA", at positions 30 to 507 of the family's 1533-position model. The record is from RNAcentral.
AUUGAACGCUGGCGGCAGGCCUAACACAUGCAAGUCGAACGGUAACAGGGAUCAGCUUGCUGAUUCGCUGGCGAGUGGCGGACGGGUGAGUAAUGUCUGGGAAACUGCCUGAUGGAGGGGGAUAACUACUGGAAACGGUAGCUAAUACCGCAUAACGUCGCAAGACCAAAGAGGGGGACCUUCGGGCCUCUUGCCAUCGGAUGUGCCCAGAUGGGAUUAGCUAGUAGGUGGGGUAACGGCUCACCUAGGCGACGAUCCCUAGCUGGUCUGAGAGGAUGACCAGCCACACUGGAACUGAGACACGGUCCAGACUCCUACGGGAGGCAGCAGUGGGGAAUAUUGCACAAAGGGCGCAAGCCUGAUGCAGCCAUGCCGCGUGUAUGAAGAAGGCCUUCGGGUUGUAAAGUACUUUCAGCGGGGAGGAAGGGGGUAAAGUUAAUACCUUUGCUCAUUGACGUUACCCGCAGAAGAAGCACCGGCUAACUCCGUG